RNAcentral lists this ribosomal RNA (253 nucleotides) under uncultured bacterium. RNAcentral's name for it is "partial 16S ribosomal RNA". It matches the Rfam family "Bacterial small subunit ribosomal RNA", at positions 524 to 776 of the family's 1533-position model. The record is from RNAcentral.
UACAUAGGGGGCAAGCGUUGUCCGGAUUCAUUGGGCGUAAAGAGCGUGUAGGCGGCCAGGUAGGUCGGUUGUGAAAACUGGAGGCUCAACCUUCAGAGGUCGACCGAAACCAUCUGGCUAGAGUCCGGGAGAGGAGAGUGGAAUUCCUGGUGUAGCGGUGAAAUGCGCAGAUAUCAGGAAGAACACCCGUGGCGAAAGCGGCUCUCUGGAACGGUACUGACGCUGAGACGCGAAAGCGUGGGGAGCGAACAGG